This is a small nuclear RNA of Pongo abelii (Sumatran orangutan), 103 nucleotides long. The record is from Ensembl. Lineage: Eukaryota; Metazoa; Chordata; Mammalia; Primates; Hominidae.
CUGCUUCAGCAACAGAUAUGCUAAAAUUGGAAUGAUACAGAGAAAAUUAGCAUGACCCCUGUGCAAGGAUGACAUGCAAAUUUGUGAAGCGCUCCAUAUUAAA